Oncorhynchus tshawytscha (Chinook salmon) is the source of this 806-nucleotide long non-coding RNA. The record is from Ensembl. NCBI's taxonomy places the organism in Eukaryota, Metazoa, Chordata, Actinopteri, Salmoniformes, Salmonidae.
GGGACAGGGCCCAACAUUUAGAGGGAAAUCAAAGAGGGGUGAGGUGGUAAACCAUGGGGACAGAGCCCAACAUUUAGAGGGAAGUCAAAGAGGGGUGGUAGUACAUGGGGACAGAGCCCAACAUUUAGAGGGGUGAGGUGGUAAUACAUGGGGACAGAGCCCAACAUUUAGAGGGAAAUCAAAGAGGGGUGAGGUGGUAAACCAUGGGGACAGAGCCCAACAUUUAGAGGGGUGAGGUGGUAAACCAUGGGGACAGGGCCCAACAUUUAGAGGGGUGAGGUGGUAAUACAUGGGGACAGAGCCCAACAUUUAGAGGGAAAUCAAAGAGGGGUGAGGUGGUAAACCAUGGGGACAGAGCCCAACAUUUAGAGGGGCGCGGUGGUAAUACAUGGGGACAGGGUCCAACAUUUAGAGGGAAGUCAAAGAGGGGCGCGGUGGUAAACCAUGGGGACAGAGCCCAACCUGUCCCACGCCUCCCUCUAACGACCGCUAGAUGUGUGUGUGUUCUAAUCGCAUUUCAUUAGUGAAAUGUAUAGAGCCGACGUGGACUAGGUACUGGUACCCCCUGUAUAGAGCCGACGUGGACUAGGUACUGGUACCCCCUGUAUAGAGCCGACGUGGACUAGGUACUGGUACCCCCUGUAUAGAGCCGACGUAGACUAGGUACUGGUACCCCCUGUAUAGAGCCGACGUAGACUAGGUACUGGUACCCCCUGUAUAGAGCCGACGUAGACUAGGUACUGGUACCCCCUGUAUAGAGCCGACGUAGACUAGGUACAGGUACCCCCUGUAUAGAGUCGACGUAG